UGAGUACGAGCUGCUACGGCAGCGAAGUGGGUGAUGUCAAGCUUCCAAGAAAAGCCCUAUACCCGUUAAGGCAUGAUGGCCUGUACCCGAAACCGACACAGGUGGGGUGGUAGAGAAUACCGAGGGGCGCGAGAUAACUCUCUCUAAGGAACUCGGCAAAAUGGCCCCGUAACUUCGGGAGAAGGGGUGCCACCGCAAGGUGGUCGCAGUGAAGAGGCCCAGGCGACUGUUUACCAAAAACACAGGUCUCCGCUAAGUCGCAAGACGAUGUAUGGGGGCUGACGCCUGCCCAGUGCCGGAAGGUUAAGGAAGCUGGUCAGCGUAAGCGAAGCUAGCGACUGAAGCCCCGGUGAACGGCGGCCGUAACAAUAACGGUCCUAAGGUAGCGAAAUUCCUUGUCGGGUAAGUUCCGACCCGCACGAAAGGCGUAACGAUCUGGGCGCUGUCUCGGAGAGAGGCUCGGCGAAAUAGAAUUGUCUGUGAAGAUGCGGACUACGUGCACCCGGACAGAAAGACCCUAUGAAGCUUUACUGUAGCUUGGUAUUGUGCUCGGGCUCGGAAUGCGCAGGAUAGGUGGGAGGCUAUGAACCAUUGCUUGUGGGUGAUGGUGAGCCACUGGUGAGAUACCACUCUUUCCGAGCUAGAGUUCUAACAGCCACCCGUUAUCCGGGGGCUGGACAGUAUCAGGUGGGCAGUUUGACUGGGGCGGUCGCCUCCUAAAAGGUAACGGAGGCGCGCAAAGGUUUGCUCAGGCUGUUGGAAAUCAGCCGACGAGUGUAAAAGCAGAAGCAAGCUUGACUGUGAGACCUACAAGUCGAACAGGGAGGAAACUCGGCUUUAGUGAUCCGACGGUUCUGCGUGGAAGGGCCGUCGCUCAACGGAUAAAAGUUACUCUAAGGAUAACAGGCUGAUCUCCCCCAAGAGUUCACAUCGACGGGGAGGUUUGGCACCUCGAUGUCGGCUCAUCGCAACCUGGGGCUGAAGUCGGUCCCAAGGGUUGGGCUGUUCGCCCAUUAAAGCGGUACGCGAGCUGGGUUCAGAACGUCGUGAGACAGUUCGGUCCAUAUCCGGUGCAUGCGCAGGAAUAUUGAGAGGAUUUCUCCCUAGUACGAGAGGACCGGGAGGAACGCACCUCUGGUGUACCAGUUAUCGUGCCAACGGUAAACGCUGGGUAGCCAUGUGCGGAGAGGAUAACCGCUGAAAGCAUCUAAGUGGGAAGCCCACCUCAAGAUGAGUAUUCCCAUGGGGUAACCCAGUAAGGUCACGGGAAGAACACCCGUUGAUAGGCUCUACGUGGAAGCGCAGUAAUGUGUGAAGCGGAGGAGUACUAAUAGACCGAGGGCUUGAC
This 1348-nucleotide ribosomal RNA is filed under the name metagenome. RNAcentral's name for it is "bacterial LSU rRNA". It matches the Rfam family "Bacterial large subunit ribosomal RNA", at positions 1564 to 2925 of the family's 2925-position model. The record is from RNAcentral.